UCAUGUGUCUUGUAGUUUUGCUUCCUGUGUUUGUUUGCCUUUCCCGCCCUGAUCAUUUUCACCUGUAUCUCAUUGUCUCCGCUCACCUGAGUGUAUUUAAGUCUGUGUGCUUCCUUUGUUCUGUAUCAGUUCGUCUUUGUCUUUUGUCAAGCGGCCCGGCCGUGGUUACCUGUAUGGUAUUCUAUUGGAGUGUCUUCUGUUUCUCUUGGACCUUGCAUGGAUUUUGGAUUUUGGACUUUGCCUGCUUCCUGCCGGAAUUGUUUGCCUUUGUUGUACUGCCUUUCUUCGUUUGCUCUCUGCCUGCCUGACAAUCCAUAGCUAUUCCCUGCUGGUGAUCACAGCCAUGCUACACAAGCCAGCUGCCUUUCCUGUCCGGCCUGCCUCACCACACAAGCCAGCUGCCUUUCCUGUCUGGCCUGCCUCACCACUCAAGUCAGCUGCCUUGCCGGUUUUGCCAAUCACGCUACACCGAGCAAGAACCUACACUCACCAUCUCCAUCCCCGGAGCCUAGCAGUUUCUUCUAGGACCGGGCCUACUACGUCCUCUCUGGCUACAGUGGACUACACCAGAUUCGCCCCUCUGGAAGAGCUCAUAUGCACCUGUGACUGCUUGCAGCGUUCUAGCAUCCGGUGCCCCGUUACGUUUGCCUCUGAUCAGUCCAAGGUUAAUUAUAUUGUUGGGUUGCUGAGAGAGAGCGUUAGCCUGGAUGGAGGCUAUGCAUGCUAGCCAACCCUUGUCGUCACUUUCCUUAGCAGAAUUUUUGGUGAAGAUGAGGAAUGUGUUUGAUCAUCUGGAUGCCAGUGGGAACGCGGGGAGACGGUUGUUACGAAUCAGCCAGGGGACCUGAAGCGUGGCGGAUUAUUCCGUAGAGUUCCGGACACUGGCUGCAGACUCUGGGUGGAAUGAGGAAGCACUUAUCAGCGUGUUUGUGAAAGGGUUGAGUGAACAAAUCAAGGAUGAGCCCACCAACCGGGAGGCUAUGGUUUCUCUUUGUAUUCGCAUACGCGAAUUGAGCCAGAAUUGUGCCAGCCGUCCUCUCACCAACACCUCACGCAACACGUCUUCCACUACGCCCGUGAGACCUAGGUCGCCUAUCCUGACCGCAGACACACGCCCGCAGCCGCCAACCGCCCUUGAAGGGGAGCCCAUGCAACUAGGCCGAGCCCAUCUUACGCCGGCAGAUCGUCUCCGCAGUAGAACAGCUGGUGAGUGUCUGUACUGUGGCCACAGUGGUCACUUUCUGGCUGCAUGUCCAGUACAACUAAAAGAAUAGGCUCACCAAUCCCAGUGGGGGUUCUGGUGAGCCAAAACAACCCCCCUAACAGGCCUCUCCUAGGUUACAAAUCCAGGCCACCCUCUACAACCAACAAGUGUCACUCCCUUUAUUGGCUCUGAUUGACUCCGGGGCAGAGGGCAAUUUCAUGGACACAGAGUUAGCUCAACAGGCUGGCAUCCUCACAAAGACCCUGGAUAUUCCACGUAAGGCUGAGGCUUUGGAUGGCAGACUUCACAGCCCCCGUGUCCUUGGUGCGAUCCGGAAAUCAUUGAGAGAAGAUCCAGUUUCAACUCAUCUCUUUUCCCAACACACCACUAGUUCUGGGCUUCCCCUGAUUACGUCAACACAACCCACACAUUGACUGGACCAAAGGAAGAAUUGUGAGUUGGAGCCCCUUCUGUCUUUCCACCUGUUUGCAAUCUGCUCUAUUCCCCAGCAGAGGUCAGUGUUCCACCUCUUAGCCCGGAACUGCCGGAUCUAGCUCAUACCAGAGCAAUACCAUGAUUUAAGUGGUUUUCAGAAAGGACCUAGCCUUGUCACUACCUCCUCACCGCCCUUAUGACUGCACCGUUGAUCUUCUCCCUGGGGCCCCUCUUCCUUCAAACCGCUUGUACAAUGUGUCUCGACCUGAAAGAGAAGCCAUGGAGAGAUAUAUCAAGGACUCAUUACAUGCUCGGCUCAUUUGUGCAUCAUCUUCACCAGCAAGGGUGGGCUUCUUCUUUGUGGCAAAGAAAGACAAGACACUAAGCCUGUGCAUUGACUACAGAGGUCUCAACCAAAUCACCGUCAAGAGUAAAUACCUGUUGCCACUAAUCAACUCCAACCUUGAAACCCUUCACGGUCCCACCGUGUUCACUAAGCUGGAUCUCCGCAACGCUUACCACUUGGUCCGUAAACGGGAAGGGGAUGAGUGGAAGACUGCCUUCAACACCCCAUUCGGACACUUCGAGUACCUAGUGAUGCCUUUAGGACUGACAAACACUCCUGGCUGUCAAAUUAGCAUUGGAGGAAUGGCGACACUGGCUGGAGGGAGCAGAACAACCCUUUGUAGUAUGGACAGACCAUAAGAACCUGGAAUACAUCCAAACAGCCAAGACUCAACUCUCGGCAAGCACGUUGGACCCUGUUCUUCAGCCGCUUCAAUUUCACCCUCACUUACCGUCCUGGAUCCAAGAACAUUAAACCUGACACACUAUCCUGUCAGUACUUCUCCCUGGACAGCACCCCCGGACCUGAUACUCUCCUCCCUACCACCUGCGUGGUGGCCGCAGUGAUGUGGGAGAUUGAGUCCAUAGUAAGGGAGGCCCAGCGAAACCAGCCAGACCCCGGGAACAGUCCCACUAAUCGCCUGUUUGUCUCUAACUCUGCUUGUUACCAGGUGCUCCAGUGGGCACACAACUCUUGUUUCGCCUGUCGUGGCAGCAUGUUCCAUCUGCGCUCGAGGAAUGUCCUCUCAUCAGCCACCAGCUGGUCUGCUAUGACCACUUCCCGUUCCCAGUUGCCCUUGGUCUCACAUAGCGCUGGACUUCCUUACCGGGUUGCCCCCCUCUCAAGGUUUUCCGUCUUCAUGGCAUUCCACUCUAUAUAGUUUCUGACCGGGGACCCCAGUUCAUCUCACAGGUCUGGAAAGCAUUCUGUCUAGCCCUGGGAGCAACCAUCAGUCUCUCCUCCGGGUUUCCAUCCACAGACCAACGGCCAGAGAGGGCCAAUCAGGACCUCGAGGCAGCGCCUUGAUGUGUGGCAGCCACCAACCCUUCCUCCUGGAGCUCUCAACUUUCCUGGGUCGAGUAUGCACACAACUCACUAACCAGUGCUGCCUCUGGUCUGUCUCCUUUCGAGUCAUCUUUAGGGUACCAGCCUCCUCUGUUCCCAUCUCAAGAGAGUGAGCUUGCGGUCCCUUCCGUUCAACACCACCUCCGCUGUUGCCUUAAGAUCUGGAAGGAGACCCGGGCAGCACUUCUCCAGUCUGCUGAGAAGAAUCGCCACAUCGCAGAUCGGCACCGGACUCCAAUGCCACCAUACAAACCAGGUCAGAGUUUGGCUAUCUUCCAAGAACAUCCCCCUAAGAACCGAAUCCAAAAAACUGUCCCCCCGUUACAUUGGUCCAUUUGUCAUCAAACGGAUCAUUAAUCCAUCUGCAGUCUGACUCAAACUACCCCGCUACCCCAUGAGAGUCCACCCCACUUUCCCCAACUGAAACCAGUCUCCUUCAGCACUCUGUGUGUGUGUGUGUGUACUGGUCUGGCUCCCUGGUCUGCCCUCCUGCUGCUGAUCACCGGCACACCUGACGUCCAUCAUCCAAUCAGUCCACAGUAUAUCUACCAGGCUCUACCACACUACCAGCGCCAGAUCGUCUCCGUACAGUUGUACGAUACCUUCAUCACGGCCCCUACCUCAACCAAAGUUAAGUUGUAGUUACUCACUAUUGUUGCCUCUCUUGUAACUUUGUCUGUCUCUGCCACAGAGCUAUUACCUGCUGGUGAUCACAGCCAUGCUACACAAGCCAGCUGCCUUUCCUGUCCUGCCUGCCUGCCUCACCACAAGAGCCAGCUGUCUUUCCUGUCUGGCCUGCCUCACCACUCGAGCCAGCUGCCUUGCCAGUUCUGCCAAUCACGCUACACAAGCUGAGCAAGAACCUACACUCACUGUCUCCGUCCCCGGAGCCUAGCCUUUUCUUCUAGGACCAGGCCUACUACGUCCUCUCUGGCUACAGUGGACUACACCAGAUUGCCGCUCUGGAAGAGCUCAUCCACCUGUGAUUGCUUGCAGUGUUCUAAUAAAAACUGUUGCUACCACAAGUACCAUUUCCAUGUGUUCUGCAUUUGGGUUCUUAGAUCGUGCUCUACAACAAAAUUUGUUGCAGUGGAUGUCUACAAGCAGACCAGUCAUUAA
This is a long non-coding RNA of Siniperca chuatsi (mandarin fish), 4169 nucleotides long. RefSeq lists it as uncharacterized. The record is from RefSeq and is a predicted model, not a curated record. The transcript has 3 exons. NCBI's taxonomy places the organism in Eukaryota, Metazoa, Chordata, Actinopteri, Centrarchiformes, Sinipercidae.